AGCGAACGCUGGCGGCAUGCCUAACACAUGCAAGUCGAGCGCUCCCAGCAAUGGGGGAGCGGCGGACGGGUGAGUAACGCGUAGGAACGUAUCCUGAGGUGGGGGAUAACCCUGGGAAACUAGGGCUAAUACCGCAUGAUGGCGAGAGCCCAAAGAUUUAUCGCCUUGGGAGCGGCCUGCGUCUGAUUAGCUGGUUGGUGGGGUAACGCCUACCAAGGCGAUGAUCAGUAGCUGGUCUGAGAGGAUGAUCAGCCACACUGGGACUGAGACACGGCCCAGACUCCUACGGGAGGCAGCAGUGGGGAAUAUUGGACAAUGGGCGAAAGCCUGAUCCAGCAAUGCCGCGUGGGAUGAAGAAGGUCUUCGGAUUGUAAAGUCCUUUCGGCGGGGACGAUGAUGACGGUACCCGCAGAAGAAGCCCCGGCUAACUUCGUGCCAGCAGCCGCGGUAAGGCACGACUGU
RNAcentral lists this ribosomal RNA (462 nucleotides) under uncultured bacterium. Its description in RNAcentral is "bacterial SSU rRNA". It matches the Rfam family "Bacterial small subunit ribosomal RNA", at positions 29 to 532 of the family's 1533-position model. The record is from RNAcentral.